Molecule: RNA transcript, 1274 nt
Organism: Triticum aestivum (bread wheat)
Lineage: Eukaryota; Viridiplantae; Streptophyta; Magnoliopsida; Poales; Poaceae
Gene name: psbP domain-containing protein 3, chloroplastic-like
Exons: 7
Source: RefSeq, a predicted model, not a curated record
AUGUUCUUGGAAAAAAGAAAUAAAAUAAAGGUGUUCCUUAAAAAUAAAAAUGAAACCGCGCCCGAGACUGGACGUGGAACGAGGAGGACGACGAGCCACAAGUCCCACACGGCAGCCGGCCACCAAGCAAAAAUAUCCUCUGAAAACCAAGCCAACCUGCAGUUGCAGCCGAGCAAGCACAGCAGCGUCGUCGACCACCAUCGAGCCGUACUCCAUGGCUGCCGUGACCACCGCCUCCCUCUGCCCCGGCCUCGGCAGGCCCCGCCGAGGCCACGCGAAGCCGCCGAGAACAACGGCCUGCCAUUGCCUCCCUGCUCGGAGGGCGGAGGAGGGGGUGAAUCGGCGGGACGCCCUGCUCGGCGUCCUCCUCUCCGCCACUGCCGCGUCGUCAGCGCCGCUGCUCGUCCCCGCCGAGGCCUUCGCCGAAACCGCCGAGGCGCAGGAGGGGUUCACCGCGUACGAGGACGAGGCCAACAAGUUCACCCUCGUGAUUCCACAAGGCUGGCAGGUCGGCGCAGGUGAACGCAGCGGCUUCAAGAACGUGACGGCGUUCUUCCCCGAGCAAAACCCCAACUCCAGCGUCAGCGUCGUGAUCACCGGGAUCGGGCCGGACUUCACCAGCCUCAAGUCCUUCGGUAACGUCGACGAGUUCGCCGAAAACCUGGUGACCGGCCUGGACAGGAGCUGGCAGAGGCCGGCGGGGCUCGCAGCGAAGCUCAUCGACUCCAAGGCAUCAAACGGCCUGUACUACAUCGAGUACACGCUGCAGAACCCCGGCGAGAAGCGCCGCCACAUCGUCUCCGCCAUUGGGAUGGCAUUCAACGGCUGGUACAAUCGGCUGUACACGGUGACAGGGCAGUACAUCGACGACGACGAGGAGUCAGCCAUAUACAAGCCUGAGAUAGAGAAGUCUGUAAAGUCGUUCAAGUUCACAUGAAAUGCCUCCAAAAGGAAGUUCAGGUGAGAACAAGUAUAGAGUGACAGAGAAGAGAGAGUAUACAAAGCUAGUAGCUCCUGAUGUUAAGUUCAAUUAGUGAGUAUGUAUAUGUUUGUCGAAUUUACCGGAAAGAAAAGAUGAACACCAGAUGUUCGAAGACUUCGAUGGUGUAGCUUGGCUGAGAACAGCAUUGGCAGCAUGAGUGUGAGAUAGAGCAUGAGAGUAUCAUUGGUUCUAAGAAAAUUGCUAGAACUUGGUUAUAAGGAAACUAAAAUUGCUCUGAUGUAAACUUCCUAGCACCUAUUUUUGGGCCCAUGUGUUAGUUUUUUUUUUCAUC